This 1067-nucleotide ribosomal RNA is filed under the name Fusarium oxysporum. RNAcentral's name for it is "eukaryotic LSU rRNA". It matches the Rfam family "Eukaryotic large subunit ribosomal RNA", at positions 1 to 1095 of the family's 3401-position model. Lineage: Eukaryota; Fungi; Ascomycota; Sordariomycetes; Hypocreales; Nectriaceae. The record is from RNAcentral.
AUGUUGACCUCGGAUCAGGUAGGAAUACCCGCUGAACUUAAGCAUAUCAAUAAGCGGAGGAAAAGAAACCAACAGGGAUUGCCCUAGUAACGGCGAGUGAAGCGGCAACAGCUCAAAUUUGAAAUCUGGCUCUCGGGCCCGAGUUGUAAUUUGUAGAGGAUACUUUUGAUGCGGUGCCUUCCGAGUUCCCUGGAACGGGACGCCAUAGAGGGUGAGAGCCCCGUCUGGUUGGAUGCCAAAUCUCUGUAAAGUUCCUUCGACGAGUCGAGUAGUUUGGGAAUGCUGCUCUAAAUGGGAGGUAUAUGUCUUCUAAAGCUAAAUACCGGCCAGAGACCGAUAGCGCACAAGUAGAGUGAUCGAAAGAUGAAAAGCACUUUGAAAAGAGAGUUAAAAAGUACGUGAAAUUGUUGAAAGGGAAGCGUUUAUGACCAGACUUGGGCUUGGUUAAUCAUCUGGGGUUCUCCCCAGUGCACUUUUCCAGUCCAGGCCAGCAUCAGUUUUCCCCGGGGGAUAAAGACUUCGGGAAUGUGGCUCUCUUCGGGGAGUGUUAUAGCCCGUUGUGUAAUACCCUGGGGGGGACUGAGGUUCGCGCAUCUGCAAGGAUGCUGGCGUAAUGGUCAUCAACGACCCGUCUUGAAACACGGACCAAGGAGUCGUCUUCGUAUGCGAGUGUUCGGGUGUCAAACCCCUACGCGUAAUGAAAGUGAACGCAGGUGAGAGCUUCGGCGCAUCAUCGACCGAUCCUGAUGUUCUCGGAUGGAUUUGAGUAAGAGCAUACGGGGCCGGACCCGAAAGAAGGUGAACUAUGCCUGUAUAGGGUGAAGCCAGAGGAAACUCUGGUGGAGGCUCGCAGCGGUUCUGACGUGCAAAUCGAUCGUCAAAUAUGGGCAUGGGGGCGAAAGACUAAUCGAACCUUCUAGUAGCUGGUUUCCGCCGAAGUUUCCCUCAGGAUAGCAGUGUUGAACUCAGUUUUAUGAGGUAAAGCGAAUGAUUAGGGACUCGGGGGCGCUAUUUAGCCUUCAUCCAUUCUCAAACUUUAAAUAUGUAAGAAGCUCUUGUUGCUUAAU